CAAUAGCGUAUAUUAAAGUUGUUGCGGUUAAAAAGCUCGUAGUUGGAGUUCUGCCAGGUGCCGCCUGUCCGCCCCAGUGGUGAGUACGUGGCGCGCAUUUGGCCCUUUCAAGGGGAGCGUAUCUGCACUUUAUUGUGUGGUGCGGGAUCCUUGACUUUUACUUUGAGGAAAUAGGAGUGUUCCAAGCAGGCUCUCGUCGUGCACAGCUCAGCAUGGAAUAAUAGCAUUGGACCUCGAUUCUAAGCUGUUGGUUGCCGGAAGCGAGGUAAUGAUGAAGAGGGAUAGUUGGGGGCAUUCGUAUUUAGCUGUCAGGGGUGGAAUUCUUGGAUUUGUUAAAGACGGACUACUGCGAAAGCAUCUGCCAUGGAUGUUUUCAUUGA
RNAcentral lists this ribosomal RNA (380 nucleotides) under uncultured eukaryote. Its description in RNAcentral is "partial 18S ribosomal RNA". It matches the Rfam family "Eukaryotic small subunit ribosomal RNA", at positions 592 to 976 of the family's 1831-position model. The record is from RNAcentral.